Molecule: ribosomal RNA, 694 nt
Filed under: uncultured bacterium
Lineage: Bacteria
Description: bacterial SSU rRNA
Rfam family: Bacterial small subunit ribosomal RNA
Source: RNAcentral
UAAACGAUGUCAACUAGUUGUUGGGAGGGUUUCUUCUCAGUAACGUAGCUAACGCGUGAAGUUGACCGCCUGGGGAGUACGGCCGCAAGGUUGAAACUCAAAGGAAAUUGACGGGGACCCGCACAAGCGGUGGAUGAUGUGGUUUAAUUCGACGCAACGCGAAAAACCUUACCUACCCUUGACAUGUCUGGAAUUUCGCAGAGAUGUGAAAGUGCUCGAAAGAGAACCAGAACACAGGUGCUGCAUGGCCGUCGUCAGCUCGUGUCGUGAGAUGUUGGGUUAAGUCCCGCAACGAGCGCAACCCUUGUCAUUAGUUGCUACGAAAGGGCACUCUAAUGAGACUGCCGGUGACAAACCGGAGGAAGGUGGGGAUGACGUCAGGUCAUCAUGGCCCUUAUGGGUAGGGCUACACACGUCAUACAAUGGCCGGUACAGAGGGCUGCCAACCCGCGAGGGGGAGCUAAUCCCAGAAAACCGGUCGUAGUCCGGAUCGCAGUCUGCAACUCGACUGCGUGAAGUCGGAAUCGCUAGUAAUCGCGGAUCAGCUUGCCGCGGUGAAUACGUUCCCGGGUCUUGUACACACCGCCCGUCACACCAUGGGAGCGGGUUCUGCCAGAAGUAGUUAGCCUAACCGCAAGGAGGGCGAUUACCACGGCAGGGUUCGUGACUGGGGUGAAGUCGUAACAAGGUAACC